RNAcentral lists this ribosomal RNA (305 nucleotides) under uncultured eukaryote. RNAcentral's name for it is "SSU rRNA". It matches the Rfam family "Eukaryotic small subunit ribosomal RNA", at positions 111 to 414 of the family's 1831-position model. The record is from RNAcentral.
UAUGGCUUAUUAGAUCGUGCGUUCCACUUAGAGAACUGUGGUAAUUCUAGAGCUAAUACAUGCAACUGGCCCUAACUUUACGGAGGGGCGCUUUUAUUAGAUCAAAAUCAAUCAGGUUUCGGCCUGUUUUUGUGAUGACUCUGGAUAACUUUGUGCCGACCGCAUGGCCUUGCGCCGGCGGCGUAUCUUUCAAAUGUCUGCCCUAUCAACUUUCGAUGGUAGGUGACAUGCCUACCAUGGUUGUAACGGGUAACGGAGAAUCAGGGUUCGAUUCCGGAGAGGGAGCCUGAGAAACGGCUACCACA